AAGACAAGAGAAAUGAGUUUCCAACACUUCUUCACGAUGGUAAUGUCGUAUCAGAGUCUUUCAAAAUAGUUGAGUACCUUGAUGCAACAUGGAAGGCCGUGGAUUCCCCUUUCAUCUUGCCGGUCGAUCCUUACGACCGUACUAUUGUACGAUUUUGGGCUACAUAUAUUGAUGAUAAGGUAUGUAAUUAUGUAAGCAAACAGACAAAAAACAUCAAUGUUUUAGAUUUUAUAAUUAUUUAUUUAUUAUAAAUCAAUUCUACCCAGAAUUCCAUGAUUAUUUAUUUAUUGAUUGAUUGAUUUUGCUUGCAGAUUUUAUCGGCCAUGAAAUUGAUAAUAAAAGGAUCGACAAACAAGAUUGAAGAAGAAUUUCAUGAGGCAAUGCAGGUUUUGGAAAGUAUUUUCAAAAAUGAAAGUCAAGGUCAAAGCUUCUUUGCAAAGGGAAAUAUCGGAUAUAUUGACAUAUCUUUGGGGUCAAUAUUGGGUUGGAUGAAAGUUGUUGAGAAAUCAAAGAAUAUUAGGUUACUGGAUGAGAGGAAGACGCCUAUGUUGGUGAAUUGGGCUGAACAAUUCCAAGCUCACGAAGUUGUCAAGGGAAUGAUACCCGAACCAGACAAGUUGUCUAAGACAAUUGAUGAAAAAACAAUAGACGAUUCCAAACAACAAGAUGAAAUUGAUCGAGCAUUUAUCUAUGCUAGGCAAUUGACGUUCAAUCAUGCUCUCUCAAUGACCUUGAAAGUUGUCAUUGAACUGGGUGUGCUUGAUGUUAUUGCGAAUGCUGGUUUCGACAAAUUCCUCUCCCCAAAAGAGAUAGCAAGUGAAUUAUCGAUUGUCAACCCUGAUGCUCCCAUCAUGCUCAAUCGCAUGCUUAGACUACUUGCCAGCCACAAUAUCGUCAUCUGCAAAUCAAAAUCAUAUAGUAAUUGUGAUGAAAACACCAUAGUUGGUACUACGUUAUAUGGUAUUGGCCCUAUAUCUAAGUAUUUUGUCAAAAAUGAGGAUGGUGUUUCACUAGCUCCCAUGCUUGCCGCAAUCCAAGAUAAGGUUUACAUGAAAAGUUGGUAAGCUAUUUUUUUAUCAUCUUUAAUUCCAACUUUAAGAAAUCAAUCAUAACAUGUUAUAUUUAUAGGAAAACAUAAGAUAGUUUGAGACAUUUGAAACUAGGCCGUCCAUUUGAGAUAUGUAUCAUAUUAUACUUAUAUUUAAUCAUAUUAUACUUAUAUUUAAUCAUAUUAAAGAAACCAUUAGAUUUAAAAUUAACGACAUAAAUAUUGAAGAUAUCUCUUAUAAUAUCUCAAGAUUUUUUUUAUAGGUACUACUUGAAAGAAGCAGUGAUGACAGGUGGUAUUCCAUUCAACAUGGCGUACGGAAUGUCAGCUUUUGAGUAUCAUAGUAUAGAUGUGAGGUUCAAUAAUCUAUUUAAUAAAGCAUUUUUUAAUAUGACAAUCCUUAUGAAGAAAAUUCUUCAUUUAUAUAAUGGAUUUGAGAGUAUCAACAAAUUGGUUGAUGUUGGUGGGGGCACUGGAGCCAAUCUAAACAUCAUAAUCUCGCAACAUCCAACCAUAAAGGGUGUCAACUUCGACCUUCCUCAUGUCAUCAAAAAUGCCCCCUUAUUUAAAGGUAACAUAAUAUAUCCAGAAUCAGUAUAUAAUUGAAUGUUUUGCGGAAACUAAUUAUGUAUGAUUGUGUUCUGUUUUACAGGAGUGAAACAUGUUGGCGGAGACAUGUUUGAGAAGGUUCCUAGUGGUGAUGCCAUUUUUAUGAAGGUAUAUAUCUUAAACUGGCCUUUAAUUUUCCAUAUAUUGAUUCUAACCCAGAUAAGUACAUCACUGUUUUGUUUUAUGCAGUUUAUCCUACAUGAUUGGAGCGACGAUCAUUGUGUGAAGUUAUUGAAGAAUUGUUGGAAACAACUUCCAAAAAAUGGAAUGGUUAUCGUCUGUGAAUUUACUAUUCCCGUUGAACCACAAGAAGAUAAUUCAGCUUUCUAUAGUGAUAUGUCGAUGUUGACACUAAAUCCGGGAGGUAAGGAGAGGACUGAAAGUGAAUAUAGUUUACUGGCGAAGAAAGCAGGAUUUGUCGAUUUCAAAGUUGCAUGUGAUGUAUAUGGAAUGUACAUCAUGGAAUUCAGUAAGUAGUUGCACGCCCAAAUUUCUUCCUUAUGUGGAAAUACUAAAUAAAAUUAAAGCUUAUAUACACAACUUGAUUAGUCCAGUUGGUAACUAUCACUAUUAAGGUGGACGAACUGUUAAAGGUCCAGGGUUUGAGUCUCAAUGUAUGUAUUUUAAUUUAUAUUUACUUUUGUAUCAGUUUAUCAAAAAAUAAAAAUGUUUGCAAUAUAUAUAUAUAGAGAAAAAAUCAGGAACGACCCUGAUCGCACGGUGCCCUAAAACGGUACCUGCCCCCUCCGCCUUGCGAUUCCACAUCCACGGUCGUCUCCUCUCCAAGCCAACGUAUCUACCGAUGGCCAAUCUACCUCUAACAGAGUAAUGUGAGAUACUGUCAGUAACUGCGAUUUCGGUCCCGCAACAGAGUAACUGCGAUUUCGGUUCCGCGGAACCCAUCGCGAGUUCCGCGGAACUCGAUCGCGGUUCUGCGGAACUCGAUUUCGCAGAACCGGAACCGAAAUCGCGAUAGUGAGGGCCUCUGACACUGGCAGUGUGCCGGAAACGAAUCUUGCUGCGAAGAAGCCAAAGAUCUUAGUUGCCGGAGGCGGAAUCGAUUUGAGUACCAACUGCACAAACAUCGGUUGGUGUUCUUUUCCACCACUGGAAGCCUCAAUUGCUUUUUUCCCAACAAUCAUCUUGGUUUUGUGGUUGAAAUAACGCAGACCCCAAAGACCUUUAUUCAGAGCAGUUGAACUCGCACCCAAUUUUGAUGCAUACAUCUCUGCAAACUGAGCAAUGCCGAAUCCCCAACCAUCUAGCGCACAGACGAAGACCACAUUUCCUUUCUGUGGCUGGAACGUAUCUGCCUCAUUGUCUUCCUCCUCUACGAAUUCUUCUCCUACAGUGCUGGAUCCAGUGAUGAAGAGAUCCACAUCAGAGAGGUACUUGACAGAUUUAAACCCACUGAUAAUUCCAUUGACAUCGUGAAUAAUCCUUUGCAAUUUCGUAUAGGCUUCCAUCGGACUCAACUUUAACUCUGUGAUCAAUCGAUCGAUCUUGUUGAGGACGAGACAAGGAGUCAACUUCUCAAUCCAUGCCUGACGGAGAGCAGCAUGGGUUUGGAUAUGAACACCUUCGACGGAAACAACCAGAACCAAAGCCCCAUCACUUAAUCUGGCGGCAGUGGACACCUCGCUGCAGAAGUCGAUGUGUCCAGGGGAAUCAAUAAGGUUUAUGGAAUGUUCACCGUAUUUCAAUAAAAUAGAAGAGCUUUUCAUUGUGAUGGCUCGCCGUUGUUCCGCGGAACUCGAUCGCGGUUCCGCGGAACUCGAUCGCGGUUCCGCGGAACUCGAUCGCGGUUCCGCGGAAUCGGAAUCGGACCGCCGUGGAAUCGGAAUCGGAACGACGCGGAAUCGGAACGUCGUGGAAUCGGAAUCGGAACGACGCGAAAUCGGAAUCGGAACCGGAACCGUACGGAUCGAGGAGGGGAACGCACGGUGCGGACGGGCCGUGCCAGAUGUUUUUCCUAUAUAUAUAUACGUGUCUAUAUUUAUAUUUGUUUAAGAUGAAUGUCUAUAUACAAUUUCCAUUCUCAUAUAUACGUGUAUUAGGUCGUGGUAGGGGUGAGAAUGGUCCCGGGUCACCCCUUAGACCCGUCUCGUACGUUCCGUGUCUUGGUGGGAACAGGAUCGAGGUAGGAUUUUGCCCCGAAUUUUUUUUCCCGCCUUGUUGCUCCGGUCAUUUUAUGGAGCAGGUGUUAGGGCAGGGAAAACUAUAAUUUUCCUUUUAUUUUUAGCCUCGAUCAUAUUUUCGAGGGCGGGUCUCAGAGCUUGUAAAUGGUACAUCAAAAUUUGAAUUCGAGUUUGAAUUUUUUUAAAACUAUUUGAAUUUGGUUAUUCAAAUUUCAAAUGCGAAUUCAGUUUUCAAUUUUUGAAUCCGUGAAAUAUUUGGUCGAAUAUACGAAUUCAAUUCAACAAUUUGAGGUAUUAGACAUCUCAACUAAUGAUCAUAUAAUACAAAACACACCAAAAAAAGAGAAACAGUCCUCAAUCAACAAUGACCCAAUAACAUCAUUGGUGACUAAGAUAAGUAUCUCAGACAAACAAAAACAUUAUGAAAAAUCUACUAGUCCAAAAUAGCAAACAAAAACACUCUUCUGGACUAAUUAGAGAAUGAGAAGAACAUAUCCAAAUCUGAAUUGGGAGAGAAAAUUAAAAGCACAAAGAUGUCAAAAACAUUAAAAUCAAAAAGGUGAGAAGACCCUUCAAAAAGACCAACUAAAUAUGAUGAUAUCUAUUGUCCUAGUUUCAAAGAAACCAGAAAAUGAAAGUAUAUCAAAUCACAGGUUUAAUGAAAAACAUAAAGAUUUUGUGAAAACAAUCACAAAAGAAACAAAAUCAAAACAUUACCAUCAUGCCAAGUGUUACCCAAAAUGGCGUCAGACUAUGAAUGAGGAAAUGUUGGCUCUUAAAAAGAACAACAUAUGUUCCAUAUAUAGUACCGUUACCAUCUAACAAAAAGCCCAUAGGCUCAAGAUGGAUAAAAUAAAAUACAAAUCUGAUGAGACCAUUGAGAGAUACAAAGCUCGACUACUAACCAACUCAAUACCCAAACUAGUAUCAUUCAAAACACUAUUAACCAUAGUGGAAGACUUAAAUGAAGCUCCAUCAAAUGGAUGUAUACAAUGCAUUCUUGCGCACAUGAAGACCCAAAUGAGGAAAUAUAUAUGAUUAUAGCCCAAAUGCAUGUUCUGGAUUUUUAUGGCCAAAAGAUUUUUCAUUUUUCACAACACACCAUAAGACCAAAAACUGAUUCUUUCAACAUGCAAGGAGUAGCUCUUAAAUGAUUUUUAUGGAUGGAGUCCAGCAACUAUCUGACUACAUGGCUUGCAUUUGUCAAGUCUAUAUUAAAGAAAUUUAAUCCAACUACAUGCACCACUCCAGGUGGAAAACUCAGUAAAUUUGUUUCAAACAUCAACAGUUGCUGAUUUCAUGGAGAAAUUUGAAGAUUACUCAUCAAAAGUAAUAGGAAUCCCUGAUUAGCUAUUAUUAAAAUGUUCCUAUCAUGCCCAAAGGAUGAUAUUCAAAAAGAUGUAGUGACACAGCAAAACUUGAAGAUUUACCAGAGGCUAUGAUCAAGGUGGCUAUUCAUCUUGAAAAACAGGGAACAAGAAGCACUUCAACCUUCAAACAAGGAGGAUACAAAUCCAUCCAUGAAAGGCAAUAUAUACUACACCAAGAAUAAUAUUAAGUGAGUAUAUAACUCUAAUAUGGCCAGCAACACAAUCACCAACACUCCCAAAACAGAAAAUCUAAACCCAAAUUUCAAGAGCCUCACAUUUGCUGAGAGAAAAAAAAGAACUUCCAAAGGGUUAUGCUUUAAUUAUGAUGAAAAAUUCUCACCGAGACACAAAUGUAGAGGAAAAUUAUUCAGAUUUUCAGAUAAAAACAACACCUUCUGAGAACUAGCAGAUACAGAUGAAGGAGAAGAAGAAGCUGGAAUUAAAAUUCUGAAGAUCGAGGAAGAGUCUGAAAUCAGCCUUCAAGCAUUACAGGGAAGAAUUGGCAUAAUAAACAUCAGACUGGAAGGCUUCAUCAAAAGCUUUAAGACAGACCUUUCAAUCAAAAUGGAACAUACACAAGAAUGGUGGUAGGAUAUUGGAAUAUUAAAAUACAAAUCACUUCUUACUUUCUUUGUAGAUCUUAGAAGAUUAGAAGUACAAGUGUUGAACCGUAGAUCUCGAUCUUUUUGAAAGCUUUUUGGUGCUAGACCACAACUUGAGGGAUGAAUGAUUGAACUCAAAGAUUGAAGAUUUGAAGAGAGUUUGGAAGCUCAAAAACGUUGUAGUGUGUUGGCUUCAAAUGAUGAAAGUUUCCCUCUAUUUAUAGAAAAAUAAAUUCUUCAAAUGAUGUAGUGUGUCACUUGAUUGAAGUUUGGUUUGAGCAGUCUUGACUUUUAGAUUUUUGAACAACGGUUUUAUGUUUUCUCGCUACAGUCCAAAAACAAUUGACUUUUGAGAUUUCUUUUUUUAAUUGCCUAGGAAAUUGAUUCCUUUUGAAUAAGAGAAUGUCGGUUGACCGCAUAUUGGAUUUUGACUUUUGGCGAAUCGAAUACCUAAGUUUUUGGUUCGGUUCGUAUAAAUAAACAAGCCUACUCUUAGAUUUGAGUUCGUUUCCGAACCUAAUUCGAACUGAAUUCGAACUGAAUCCGAAACGAACCGAAUAGUUCGUCGAAUACCGAACUUUUGUUGCAAUUAUGGUAAAUUAAAUACAAUAUCAAUUUCUGCAUCUUGUAGAGAGAGAUUCCCCCUCUUUUCUCUAUAACAUAUUAUUCACUAUUAAUGAUCCAAUAAUAGUACUAUAUAAUCCAAGCUAUCUUAAUCAUAAUGAUCAAAAAAUCCCAGAGGCCCACUCCUUUUUUUUUCCACCUACUCUACUAAGGGUGAGAAUAGAUCCCGAUCCGUCCCGUUUCACGUCCCGAUCGUCAAGACAGAAAAGUAGGGUACCUGACCGGUCCGUUUUGGAAAAACGGGACGGGACCACCCCACCCCACCCGCGAUUCGUCCCAUUCUCAUCUCUACCUACUACGUACUCAAUAAUUGGAUCAAUGCUUCUUCAAUCUCGAUAAAAUAUAUUAUUUAUGAUUCAAAUGAUAGAGAUAUUUUAAAAACUUUACAAAAUUUAGAUUUUUUAUUCAAUUUGUGUAAGUUAAAAUUCAAGUUCGAACCCAAGCUUGUCGAUUUUGCUAAUGAAACGAGUGGUUGAGGAAUUGUCCAGGAAGAUAAAACCUUAUGGUUUUACUAGUUUUUCAUUUCUUCUUUCCUCUUCAAUUAUUCAGACCACUUGGACAUAUUCCGAGCCACAUACAAAUUCAGAAAUUUGUACCUAAUUCAACUAUAAAUAGAUGAAGAUUGUAGUGUUCUUCACCAUCAAUUGCGAAAACUUAAAUUCUAUGGAGAAAGAAGAAGCAAGGCUUGUGGGUUUUUCGGCAAGUCCAUUUGUGUUAAGAACAAUAAUAGCCUUGAAGAUCAAAGGAAUUCCAUAUGAGUUUGUUGACGGAGAUAAGAGAAACGAGUUUCCAACACUUCUUCACGCUGGUAAUGUCGUAUCAAAGUCUUUCAAAAUAGUUGAGUACCUUGAUGCAACAUGGAAGGCCGAGGAUCGCCCUCUCAUCUUGCCGGUCGAUCCUUACGACCGUACUAUUGUGCGAUUUUGGGCUACAUAUAUUGAUGACAAGGUAUAUAAUUAUGUAAGCAUUUAUAUUUUAGUUAGAUAUGCAAACAUGUUUGUAAGUCUUUUUUACCCAUCUAGUUAAUUAAGGUAGAUAAAAACCCGAACCAAGACUUUUAGUUUCGAUUUGGUUCAACGAUCUUAUAAUUAAAUUUUUAGACCCAAAAUCUUAUAAUUAAAUCAUAAUUAAAUUAAGUUUAAAAAGUAAUAAUCUAUUAAAUGUUAUUAAUUUAAAUCAGUGACAUGAUUUUUUACCGGUUAAAAGAUAAGAAAGACCGACCGAGGUUUUUCACCCCAACUCAUAUCUUAAAAGUACAUCCUCUAAAGAUACGUAUGAUCAAUAUGGGAUAGGUAGAGUAGAAAAUAUAAAAUGAAAAUAAUGUAGGUAAACUAGCUUUAGGACUGGGGGCAAAUGCACAUCACCAAAAUUUAAGGUUUAGAGGGGAGUAGUAUAUAUGUUCAAUCUACCUUCUUUUUGAAAAUCAAUAAAUUUACAACUGAUUUCAAAUUAAAAAAAAUACUAAUUUCAAUUAGUGGGAUCCACCUGCGGAAUUGGUCCUAGCUAGAUUAACAAUUUAAUGGUUAUGGGCUUGGUCUGUUUUAGAAACAAACUAGUUCUAAUUAAAACCAGCAAACCAUGCCCAUUAUGCAAAUUCACCUAUAUCUAUUAUAAAUCAAUUCUACCCAGAAUUCCAUGAUUAUUUAUUUAUUUACUUAUUUUUCUUGCAGAUUUUAUCGGCCAUGAAAUUGAUAAUAAAAGGAUCGACAAAGAAGAUUGAAGAAGAAUUUCAUGAGGCAAUGCAGGUUUUGGAAAGUGUUUUCAAAAAUGAAAGUCAAG
This 8170-nucleotide long non-coding RNA is filed under the name Zostera marina. RNAcentral describes it as "long non-coding RNA (ZMAR_LNC000214)". The record is from RNAcentral. Lineage: Eukaryota; Viridiplantae; Streptophyta; Magnoliopsida; Alismatales; Zosteraceae.